This 21-nucleotide non-coding RNA is filed under the name Caenorhabditis elegans. Lineage: Eukaryota; Metazoa; Nematoda; Chromadorea; Rhabditida; Rhabditidae. The record is from RNAcentral.
UUCAAAUUGCAGGGUCACGGA